RNAcentral lists this ribosomal RNA (301 nucleotides) under uncultured bacterium. RNAcentral describes it as "partial 16S ribosomal RNA". It matches the Rfam family "Bacterial small subunit ribosomal RNA", at positions 509 to 807 of the family's 1533-position model. The record is from RNAcentral.
CAGUCGCCGCGGUAAAACGAAGGGGGGUAGCGUUGCUCGGAAUGACUGGGCGUAAAGGGCGCGUAGGCGGAUGGCUUUGUCGGGCGUGAAAUUCCAGGGCUUAACCUUGGGGCUGCGUUCGAGACGGGUUGUCUUGAGUAUGGAAGAGGGUCGUGGAAUUCCCAGUGUAGAGGUGAAAUUCGUAGAUAUUGGGUAGAACACCGGUGGCGAAGGCGGCGACCUGGUCCAUUACUGACGCUGAGGCGCGAAAGCGUGGGGAGCAAACAGGAUUAGAUACCCCCGUAGUCCCUGUCUCUUAUAC